GGGUUGUGAGGUUAAGCGACUAAGCGUACACGGUGGAUGCCCUGGCAGUCAGAGGCGAUGAAGGGCGUGCUAAUCUGCGAUAAGCGCCGGUAAGGUGAUAUGAACCGUUAUAACCGGCGAUACCCGAAUGGGGAAACCCAGUGUGAUUCGUCACACUAUCAUUAACUGAAUCCAUAGGUUAAUGAGGCGAACCGGGGGAACUGAAACAUCUAAGUACCCCGAGGAAAAGAAAUCAACCGAGAUUCCCCCAGUAGCGGCGAGCGAACGGGGAGGAGCCCAGAGCCUGAAUCAGCAUGUGUGUUAGUGGAAGCGUCUGGAAAGGCGCGCGAUACAGGGUGACAGCCCCGUACACAAAAGCGCAUGUGCUGUGAGCUCGAUGAGUAGGGCGGGACACGUGGUAUCCUGUCUGAAUAUGGGGGGACCAUCCUCCAAGGCUAAAUACUCCUGACUGACCGAUAGUGAACCAGUACCGUGAGGGAAAGGCGAAAAGAACCCCGGCGAGGGGAGUGAAAAAGAACCUGAAACCGUGUACGUACAAGCAGUGGGAGCACCCUUCGGGGUGUGACUGCGUACCUUUUGUAUAAUGGGUCAGCGACUUAUAUUCUGUAGCAAGGUUAACCGUAUAGGGGAGCCGGAGGGAAACCGAGUCUUAAUUGGGCGUUAAGUUGCAGGGUAUAGACCCGAAACCCGGUGAUCUAGCCAUGGGCAGGUUGAAGGUUGGGUAACACUAACUGGAGGACCGAACCGACUAAUGUUGAAAAAUUAGCGGAUGACCUGUGGCUGGGGGUGAAAGGCCAAUCAAACCGGGAGAUAGCUGGUUCUCCCCGAAAGCUAUUUAGGUAGCGCCUCGUGAAUUCAUCUCCGGGGGUAGAGCACUGUUUCGGCUAGGGGGCCAUCCCGGCUUACCAACCCGAUGCAAACUGCGAAUACCGGAGAAUGUUAUCACGGGAGACACACGGCGGGUGCUAACGUCCGUCGUGAAGAGGGAAACAACCCAGACCGCCAGCUAAGGUCCCAAAGUCAUGGUUAAGUGGGAAACGAUGUGGGAAGGCCCAGACAGCCAGGAUGUUGGCUUAGAAGCAGCCAUCAUUUAAAGAAAGCGUAAUAGCUCACUGGUCGAGUCGGCCUGCGCGGAAGAUGUAACGGGGCUAAACCAUGCACCGAAGCUGCGGCAGCGAACGUAUCACCCAAGACAACUUUACGGAGUUGACGAUUGACGGAGCGAAGCGACGUCAAAGCGUUCAUUAAAGUCGAGUUGGCUUAGGGAUACGUUCGUUGGGUAGGGGAGCGUUCUGUAAGCCUGUGAAGGUGUGUCGUGAGGCAUGCUGGAGGUAUCAGAAGUGCGAAUGCUGACAUAAGUAACGAUAAAGCGGGUGAAAAGCCCGCUCGCCGGAAGACCAAGGGUUCCUGUCCAACGUUAAUCGGGGCAGGGUGAGUCGACCCCUAAGGCGAGGCCGAAAGGCGUAGUCGAUGGGAAACGGGUUAAUAUUCCCGUACUUGGUGUUACUGCGAAGGGGGGACGGAGAAGGCUAUGUUGGCCGGGCGACGGUUGUCCCGGUUUAAGCGUGUAGGUGUGUGUUCCAGGUAAAUCCGGUUCACUUUAACACUGAGGCGUGACGACGAGGCACUACGGUGCUGAAGCAACAAAUGCCCUGCUUCCAGGAAAAGCCUCUAAGCAUCAGGUAACACGAAAUCGUACCCCAAACCGACACAGGUGGUCAGGUAGAGAAUACCAAGGCGCUUGAGAGAACUCGGGUGAAGGAACUAGGCCAAAAUGGUGCCGUAACUUCGGGAGAAGGCACGCUGACACGUAGGUGAAGUGAUUUACUCAUGGAGCUGAAGUCAGUCGAAGAUACCAGCUGGCUGCAACUGUUUAUUAAAAACACAGCACUGUGCAAACACGAAAGUGGACGUAUACGGUGUGACGCCUGCCCGGUGCCGGAAGGUUAAUUGAUGGGUCAGCGUAAGCGAAGCUCCUGAUCGAAGCCCCGGUAAACGGCGGCCGUAACUAUAACGGUCCUAAGGUAGCGAAAUUCCUUGUCGGGUAAGUUCCGACCUGCACGAAUGGCGUAAUGAUGGCCAGGCUGUCUCCACCCGAGACUCAGUGAAAUUGAACUCGCUGUGAAGAUGCAGUGUACCCGCGGCAAGACGGAAAGACCCCG
This 2162-nucleotide ribosomal RNA is filed under the name Salmonella enterica subsp. enterica serovar 4,[5],12:i:- str. 08-1736. RNAcentral describes it as "bacterial LSU rRNA". It matches the Rfam family "Bacterial large subunit ribosomal RNA", at positions 1 to 2093 of the family's 2925-position model. The record is from RNAcentral. Lineage: Bacteria; Pseudomonadati; Pseudomonadota; Gammaproteobacteria; Enterobacterales; Enterobacteriaceae.